This is a long non-coding RNA of Anolis carolinensis (green anole), 132 nucleotides long. RefSeq lists it as uncharacterized. NCBI's taxonomy places the organism in Eukaryota, Metazoa, Chordata, Lepidosauria, Squamata, Anolidae. The record is from RefSeq and is a predicted model, not a curated record. The transcript is spliced from 2 exons.
CAGCCAGCAAGAUGCCUCUGAGAAAUACAAACACUGAAGAUUCUGAAAUGACAGAGAUUCUAUGACCAUGCCUUCCUUCAUCUUCACUGAAUUUCAAGGAUAUGAACUAUCUAAGAAAUGGACUGGCUUGAC